UUUCUAUCUGAAACAUCCACUUCAUUUUUGUUCCCUUUUCUCUCUUCUUUCUUUCAUCGUCACUGUCUUUCUUACGAUGGUAGGUAGAUAGAUAUCUGGGGUCGUCGUGCGUGCGUGGCUUCCUCUUUUCUUCAGCUAGCGUGCCAUCUUUGACUUCCUACCUACUCAUUUUUUGUUUCAACCAACCGACCAAGCUAUGGAUUUACCUACUCUCAAGUCAUCCAUUGGAAACCAGGCCUAGGGAAUACAGGCUCACAUUUGAAAUUCAUUCCACAUUAUGAUGGCUUUUGUUGGCUAUGAAAAGGUGAUUGUUCGAGUUCUCGGUUGGGGAGGAUGAUCGACAGGUUAGUUUUGUAUUAGUUUGAGUUGGUGGUUUUUAAUAAAAAUAAUACUGAGUGCAACACUAUUGCUUUCAAUUAGUGGCUCACAUUAUACACAAUAAUGUAUAAUAUAUGAAGAAUAUUAUAACAUUUUUUUUUAUCUAUGUACCGUUAGAAGGAUAACACAGAACAUAAGAUUGUGUCAAUUU
Molecule: long non-coding RNA, 529 nt
Organism: Vigna radiata var. radiata (mung bean)
Lineage: Eukaryota; Viridiplantae; Streptophyta; Magnoliopsida; Fabales; Fabaceae
Exons: 3
Source: RefSeq, a predicted model, not a curated record